UAAAGCUAGGACUAGGAUUUGAAGGAUGUGUAGGCAACCCGGAUUGCCGGGGGAAGAAAAACGGAACUGGAUUCACUCUGGCUGGAGAAGAAGAGGAAGGCUGGAGCGCGGGGGCUGGCGGGGCUGGGGGGCGCGAGAGAGGAGCCUCCGAGCAUCCGCAAGUGCCGCCGUCCGGGGGAAAGUGCUCCAAGCCCCCGAGGAGGCCGAGCUGGGACGGAGGAGCCCCCGCGGACUUUGUCUUCCUUCUGCCAAUCAAACGCCCUCCGAGCCGAG
Molecule: non-coding RNA, 273 nt
Organism: Podarcis lilfordi (Lilford's wall lizard)
Lineage: Eukaryota; Metazoa; Chordata; Lepidosauria; Squamata; Lacertidae
Source: the annotation of a GenBank genome assembly